Molecule: unclassified non-coding RNA, 147 nt
Filed under: soil metagenome
Description: partial internal transcribed spacer 1
Source: RNAcentral
CAGAGUCUAGCGACUCCCAAACCACUGUUAAUCUACCGUACCGUUGCCUCGGCGGGCUGCCUCUGGGAGGGGCCGCAGCUACGCCCGCCGCAGGUCUUAAAACUAUACCUAUUUUGUGGCACUUCUGAGCAAACUUCCAAACAAUCA